UCUCCGUUGGUGAACCAGCGGAGGGAUCAUUACAGGACUCGCAAGACUCCUACAACCCUGUGAACUUAACUAUAAGCACGUUGCUUCGGCGGGUGUCUCGGAGGGGGUUCUCCCUCCCCGAGACGCUAAACCCGCCGGCAGCCUACUAUACUCUGUCUCUUUGUGUUGGCAUCUCGAGUACAAUCAAACAAGUUAAAACUUUCAACAACGGAUCUCUUGGUUCUG
Molecule: unclassified non-coding RNA, 225 nt
Filed under: plant metagenome
Description: partial contains small subunit ribosomal RNA, internal transcribed spacer 1, and 5.8S ribosomal RNA
Source: RNAcentral